UGCUAAUACCGGAUAACAACAGAUGAUGCCUAUCAACUGUUUAAAAGAUGGUUCUGCUAUCACUCUUGGAUGGACCUGCGGUGCAUUAGCUAGUUGGUAGGGUAACGGCCUACCAAGGCGAUGAUGCAUAGCCGAGUUGAGAGACUGAUCGGCCACAUUGGGACUGAGACACGGCCCAAACUCCUACGGGAGGCAGCAGGC
RNAcentral lists this ribosomal RNA (201 nucleotides) under uncultured Lactobacillus sp. RNAcentral's name for it is "partial 16S ribosomal RNA". It matches the Rfam family "Bacterial small subunit ribosomal RNA", at positions 161 to 354 of the family's 1533-position model. Lineage: Bacteria; Bacillati; Bacillota; Bacilli; Lactobacillales; Lactobacillaceae. The record is from RNAcentral.